This is a long non-coding RNA of Capra hircus (goat), 2663 nucleotides long. The record is from Ensembl. Lineage: Eukaryota; Metazoa; Chordata; Mammalia; Artiodactyla; Bovidae.
GGGGAAUGUAGGUUUGGGGGGCAGCGCCCGGGCCGUGGAGGCUGGGAGGGCGCGCAGCUGGGGCGCCUCAGGCCUUGGAGAAGGUGGCGGCAGCGCCGGCGGGGCCCCCGGGGGCAGCUCCGGGCUCCUCGGCCCAGCGGUUCAUGCAGCGGCGCCGCGCGUUCAUGAAGAAAUUGCUGACGGUGUUGAGCUCCAGGCCGAGCUGCUGCGAGAUGGUGACCUGCAUCUCCUUAGACGGCCGCUUAUUCUCCUUGAAGAUGGCGAUGAGCGUGCGCCGCUGCAGGUCAGUGAACACCAGGCGCUGCUUUUUGGGCUGCAGCGCGCGCUCUUUCUGCUGCUCCUGCUCCUUCCGCUUGCAGGCUGCGGGCGAGCGCGGGCGGGCGGGCCGGCGAGAGGGACGCGGCGCCACCGCGCGGCCGGACAGGAGAAGACAGGCCACGUGUCCCGGAGCGCCGAGACAUCAGGAAACACAGAAAUGCGGGAAACGCGAGAGAUGGAGAGAUGACACGGGGACAGGGCCAAAAAGACAAGGAGACACAGAGAGCAGGAGGCAGCAAGAAGGCGCCCACACCUGGGAGAUGUUGGAGGAAAUAACCCGGAAACCCUACAUGUGAGUUAUUUGGCUCAGUGUAGACCUGAGUGACUUAGCAGCAGCAGCAGCAGACCUGAGUGAAAGAAUUGGUUAAUUAAUACCUCUUUGCCGGGGGUGGGGUCACAAACCCCUGGAACAUCCCCCUGGAAUGAUGGGGCAACUAGGUCCUCAGAAGACAGGUGACAAUCCACGUCUCCUUCCCUGGUGACCUGAGGCCUGAUCAGCUUAGGGAUCCAGAAUCCAGCUAACGUGGUCAUCCACUUGGUCUGAUUCUGAUCUCUGAGCCCCUACUCUGGCCUCCCUCCACCAGCAGGCUGAGACCAAGGCCUGGCAUCCCUCAGGUCCCCCAGGGAACUUCUGGAGCAGGAGAAUUGCAAGACCAACCCUCCCUCUGCCAGAACCACCUGGCCCAGAUGAUGGGGAAGGCGUAGGAGGCCGCGCUAUGGUCAGUACUUGUGUGCUAAGUCACUUCAGUCAUGUCUAACUCUUCUCAAUCCUAUGGACUGAGGCCCUCCAGGUUCCUCUGUCCAUGGGAUUCUCCUGGCAAGAAUACUGGAGUGGAUUCCCAUUUCCUUCUCCAGGGGAAUCUUCCUGACCCAGGGAUCGAACUCAUGUUUGCCUGUAUCUCCUGCAUUGCAGGCAGAUUCUUUACCACUGAGCCACUUGGGAAACCCCCUGUGGUGGGUAGAAGCUUGCAAAGGAGAAGUGGCAGCAUCUGAGUGGUGGAGCUAGGGUGGAGCCUAUGGUCGUGCUCCCCCCUGCACCAGCUCCAAAGUGGGCCCCUCCCCUCAAUGCUGUGGGGCCAGCGGAUAGAAAACAUGAUCUUCACCAGCCAAAGCUGGCUACCUCCACCUGGGGACUGGCAUCAGCAAAAUCUCCAUCAGGGUCUCAAUUCCUUGACCACACACCAGUCAGGGACAGUGGGUGGUGGACGCCCACCCCAUCCUGCCUUCCCACAAACCGCUUGCCCCAGCGACUCUGUCACUCCCAGAGUGGCUGGUGGCACGGGCUAUACUAGCAGAUCUCCGCUACCAGCCCUGGUAGCCUGCUGGGACCAUGUACCAAGCUGGUUUUUUUUUUGGUUCCGGAACAGUCUGAACCAGAUGACAUGCCAGAUCAAUGUCCACACAUGUCCGUAAAAAAUAAAUGACUGUCCCCUGUGCUGUGGCUCAUUUCUCAGUGAUGACAUCUCCCCCUCUCGCCCUCAAGUUCCCCCCCCUCCGUUUGGACUGAUGCACCACUUCCUUAUCUGGCUUCUUCUGACCUGGAACACACAGUGCUUCUAAUUGGCUGUUUCAGGUUUCAUAAUUAAAUGAGAGUGGCAGGCAGAGGUUACUGGACUUUUCAGAAAAAAGCUUCUAAUGAAGGAGAGAGAGAGAAAGUGAGAAAAUGGGAGGACUGGGGACUGAUGCUCUCAGAAGAAACAGAUAAGACAGGUGCAAUUAGAAGUCAGAUUCUGGGAGGGGUAAGAGAAAAUACUGUAUCCAUGAAACAAGAACUGGAUGCUGUUCAAUAGAAAGGACCAUGAGAGGGGCAGACAAUGCUCUUAGAAUUUAAGUAUAUUAUAGCAGGAAUAAAGUCAAUGUAAGAAUUGGGACAUAGGAACUUCCCUGGCAGUCCAGUGGUUAGGACUCUGCUUUCACUGCCAAGGGCCCAGGUUCAUUCCCUGGUUGGGAAACUAAGAUUCCACAAGCCAUGUGGCAUGGCCAAAAAGUUAAAAAAAAAAAGAAGAAGAAGAAGAAUUGGAACAUAAAGCAAAUAUCCCUGGAAAUAUAAGUGGAUGCAGAGAUGGAAAAUGAGGGAAAGAUGAUAACAAAGUUUGAGGAUGAAUGUGCAGGUUUGUCAUCUGAGCAAGAGGCCAUCCAAAACUAGAGAAAGGGAAGCCCAAACAAAUUAUAUCAAUAUGAUUAGAAUAGUGUGUGUGUGUGUGUGUGUGCUCAGUCAUGUUCAACCUGUUAUGACCCCAUGGACUGUGGGCCACCAGGAUCCUCUGUCCAUGGGAUUCUCCGCAUCUCUUGUGUCUCCUGCAUUGGCAGGCAGAUUCUUUACCACUGUACCACCUGAGAAGCAG